Patella vulgata (common limpet) is the source of this 2556-nucleotide long non-coding RNA. RefSeq lists it as uncharacterized. NCBI's taxonomy places the organism in Eukaryota, Metazoa, Mollusca, Gastropoda, Patellidae. The transcript has 5 exons. The record is from RefSeq and is a predicted model, not a curated record.
ACAAGUUGCAACACACAACACCUAAACAGAUACAUGGUAACGAUCGAAUAUACGUCGUUGGUGCUUCAUAUAAACCUCUAUCUCGACACGCUACUAUUGGCAUUGAUUCGACACUUACAGACCGAGUAGUUCUACGCAAGACCUUUAGGACUCGCCAGUAACAGAAAAGCUUUGAUUCCAAUUAAUAGGAACUUUAAAAGUGAUUAAUUUACAACAAAGUCAGCAAUAAAGGAAGAUACUAAUAACUAUAGGUUUUGAAAUAAAAGCUUUUUUUUAUAUUCUUGGAGAAAUUACUAUUCAAGGUGCGGCUUGCUGAUGUCAGCUAUGUAUCAAGAUUUAUCUCUACUCAUGGUAGUUGUGGUAGCUAUAUUCACAGUCCAAAUAGUUUCAGCAGAUGCGAACUCUAUAUUUAAGGAUGUCAAUACGGCUGAGAAAAGAUUUGUAGCAUUAGAUGAUGAUGAUAGUAAUAAUGAAAUGCCUUAUAAUCAACAAUAUUGGUACUAUCCCCAUACAUCACAUAACUUUCUACAGACCCUUCUCAGAUAUCUGGCCAUUAAUGAGCAGUCGUAUCGUAACACAGUAAAAAGACAAAGAACGUUUGGUUUUAUGGGGAGUCGGGGUAAACGGGGAGAUGUCGAGGAUAUCAAUGAAUAUCUCAGACAACUACAUGAAGCGGUAUACAGAAGACGAUAUGGACCAUUGGCACAACGCUCUAUGUUUGAUAGCCAAAAGGAUGACCUGUUAAAGAUUAAACGACAGCCACACCGUGGCUUUCAUGGCAUGCGGGGAUAAAUGGUACCUGUAGCAAGUCAUCAAAUAGUGGGUCCAACAAAACAGACAAUAUAAACUAUCUCAUGCACCGAGCGAUAACAGAUCUUAACAUUCCUUUCAUAUGUGUAAAUUAUUCUUCAAUAUACAGACAAGUGCUAACCUUUAUGUUUUGUAAUGGUAUCAUUCUGACCUUUGGUUGAAUUUCGCCAACAAUAAUUGUCAGCUGUGUGACCUUCCCGGAGGUCAUACAAUAAUUUUCAACAGAUUGAAGAAAUUUCAAUCCAGCUCAUUAAGAGGUUGUGUUUAAAAAAUUCAAGAUUUCUUAAGAGGCUUGAAUUCUGUUUCAUAGCCUACGUAAAUUUUCGUUUAUCUGUUGGCUUUACGGAUUUAUUUUUCUGUCUAUCUGUGUGAGCGGUAAUAUAGACGAGAAACGAAUCAAAAUAUGUCGUGGAUUUUAUGAACAUGGUCGAAUUUUAUUACUUAGUUCUGCUUUUUCAAAUUUUGAUUAGAGAAAGCCGUCACCAGUGCAUCGCGGUUCUGUUUUUGGUGACGCUUCAUAGUAGGAUUAACUUCUAAGACUAUAAAGCUAAGAUAUGACUAUACACACAGUUGACACCGAUACCAAAGAUGUAUUUUCACUUGGACAGUCGGCGUUAGACUCUGUCUCACCACUAAGGUGAGACGAGAAUUGCAAAGAACCAUGCAGAAAAUGGCGUCGAUUUUUGCAAAUUAAAGUAUGAAAAUAUGGGAUGGGAGUGGGGAAGAAGAUUUGGCUUUAUUUGUUAUAUUUUUCUGUUGGAUUUUUGUGGUUCUUUUGUCUAGUAAAGAAGAACUUUUGUUGUUGAUCAGGUUUUCAAUGUCCAUUUGUUUUUUAAACAAUGAUCCUAUUUUAUAAUCCAAUCUAAUUCAUGUUGACAUAAAAAUUCCACCUUUUAUGGUUUUUGUCUGUGUAGUGUUUAUCAACCAACUGUUUAUAGAUGUAAAGACAAAUUAUCUAUAGAAAUGCCCUUUAGUUGCUGCCUCGGUAAACAUACAGAUACUGUAUUAAUAAAUACUAACAGUAAUUGCUAAAAUGCAGUAAUACACAUAAAUUAACACGAAUCCCGCAGAACAAAAGAACGUACAAGACAAAAGCGGCGCUGUAAGUCCCAGGUCAGUAGCGAAACAUGUUGGGUUUUUUUGUAGAAACACAACCGGCUUUAUCCGAAACGUACACAAUCAACCAAUAGAAACUGUCGACCCCUAAAGGUGUCAGUCAGAAUUCGGUCUUCUAGAAUUGAUCGGGUAAUUCGGAGAGGGGUGGGGGUAAAAUGAAAGCCAUUCGAAAUUUCGUAUUUAGUAGUCACAUGUUGUGGAGGGUCAUUUAUCGCAACUUUAGUAUCCAUCAAUUCACCAACUGUUGAGUUCAUGUUACAGAUGUUUCCAAAUACCAAAAAGUAAGCGAGAAAGAUAUGGUGGAUAAAGUGGAUUUUUGAUAUUUUAUUUAUCAAAUAUGUCAAAUGUACUGGGUAAUAAAGUUGUUAAUCUAAUUCAUUUACUUUUAAGCGACUACUGGUGGUAUAAUGAUGCCAAUGGAUUUUGUGAAAUUAUGUUGUAAAGUUUGAAUGUAGGACAGACUGCAUGCUUAAGUAUGACUCACAGUCAUUGCAAUUCGUAUAGCAAAGCUCUGUCUACAUGCGAACAAAGUAAUACCAAUCACAGUGUUGUGCAGAAAAGGAUUAACUAAAUUUUUAUGUACUGUGUAUCUUUGGUUUUAGAAAUAAAAUUUCAAUUAAAUACUAUAAA